This 616-nucleotide ribosomal RNA is filed under the name Flavobacterium sp. Ri1Pw_5732. RNAcentral's name for it is "bacterial SSU rRNA". It matches the Rfam family "Bacterial small subunit ribosomal RNA", at positions 381 to 1000 of the family's 1533-position model. The record is from RNAcentral. Lineage: Bacteria; Pseudomonadati; Bacteroidota; Flavobacteriia; Flavobacteriales; Flavobacteriaceae.
GCCUGAUCCAGCCAUGCCGCGUGCAGAUGACGGUCCUAUGGAUUGUAAACUGCUUUUAUACAGGAAGAAACCCUGGUUCGUGAACCAGCUUGACGGUACUGUAAGAAUAAGGAUCGGCUAACUCCGUGCCAGCAGCCGCGGUAAUACGGAGGAUCCAAGCGUUAUCCGGAAUCAUUGGGUUUAAAGGGUCCGUAGGCGGUUUAGUAAGUCAGUGGUGAAAGCCCAUCGCUCAACGGUGGAACGGCCAUUGAUACUGCUAAACUUGAAUUAUUAGGAAGUAACUAGAAUAUGUAUUGUAGCGGUGAAAUGCUUAGAGAUUACAUGGAAUACCAAUUGCGAAGGCAGGUUACUACUAAUUGAUUGACGCUGAUGGACGAAAGCGUGGGUAGCGAACAGGAUUAGAUACCCUGGUAGUCCACGCCGUAAACGAUGGAUACUAGCUGUUGGGGGCAACUUCUGUGGCUAAGCUAAAGUGAUAAGUAUCCCACCUGGGGAGUACGUUCGCAAGAAUGAAACUCAAAGGAAUUGACGGGGGCCCGCACAAGCGGUGGAGCAUGUGGUUUAAUUCGAUGAUACGCGAGGAACCUUACCAAGGCUUAAAUGUAGUUUGACCGAU